RNAcentral lists this ribosomal RNA (917 nucleotides) under uncultured sponge bacterium. RNAcentral's name for it is "bacterial SSU rRNA". It matches the Rfam family "Bacterial small subunit ribosomal RNA", at positions 1 to 921 of the family's 1533-position model. The record is from RNAcentral.
UAGAGUUUGAUCAUGGCUCAGAUUGAACGCUGGCGGCAGGCUUAACACAUGCAAGUCGAACGAUGACUAACUAGCUUGCUAGUUAUGAUUAGUGGCGGACGGGUGAGUAACAUUUAGGAAUCUGCCUAGUAGUGGGGGAUAGCUCGGGGAAACUCGAAUUAAUACCGCAUACGACCUACGGGUGAAAGGGGGCGCAAGCUCUUGCUAUUAGAUGAGCCUAAAUCAGAUUAGCUAGUUGGUGGGGUAAAGGCCCACCAAGGCGACGAUCUGUAACUGGUCUGAGAGGAUGAUCAGUCACACCGGAACUGAGACACGGUCCGGACUCCUACGGGAGGCAGCAGUGGGGAAUAUUGGACAAUGGGGGCAACCCUGAUCCAGCCAUGCCGCGUGUGUGAAGAAGGCCUUUUGGUUGUAAAGCACUUUAAGCAGGGAGGAGAGGCUAAUGGUUAAUACCCAUUAGAUUAGACGUUACCUGCAGAAUAAGCACCGGCUAACUCUGUGCCAGCAGCCGCGGUAAUACAGAGGGUGCGAGCGUUAAUCGGAAUUACUGGGCGUAAAGCGAGUGUAGGUGGCUCAUUAAGUCACAUGUGAAAUCCCCGGGCUUAACCUGGGAACUGCAUGUGAUACUGGUGGUGCUAGAAUAUGUGAGAGGGAAGUAGAAUUCCAGGUGUAGCGGUGAAAUGCGUAGAGAUCUGGAGGAAUACCGAUGGCGAAGGCAGCUUCCUGGCAUAAUAUUGACACUGAGAUUCGAAAGCGUGGGUAGCAAACAGGAUUGGAUACCCUGGUAGUCCACGCCGUAAAACGAUGUCUACUAGCCGUUGGGGUCCUUGAGACUUUAGUGGCGCAGUUAACGCGAUAAGUAGACCGCCUGGGGAGUACAGCCGCAAGGUUAAAACUCAAAUGAAUUGACGGGGGCC